GACGAACGCUGGCGGCGUGCUUAACACAUGCAAGUCGAACGGUAAGGCCCUUCGGGGGACACGAGUGGCGAACGGGUGAGUAACACGUGGGUGACCCGCCCUGCACUUCGGGAUAAGCCUGGGAAACUGGGGCUAAUACCGGACAGGACGCCUGGCUUCAUGGUUGGGGGGGGAAAGCUUUUGCGGUGUGGGAUGGGCCCGCGGCCUAUCAGAUUGUUGGUGGGGUAGUGGCCUACCAAGGGGACGACGGGUAGCCGGCCUGGGAGGGUGACCGGUCACACUGGGACUGAGAUACGGCCCAGACUCCUACGGGAGGCAGCAGUGGGGAAUAUUGCACAAUGGGCGCAAGCCUGAUGCAGCGACGCCGCGUGAGGGAUGACGGCCUUCGGGUUGUAAACCUCUUUCAGCUAUGACGAAGCGCAAGUGACGGUAGUAGCAGAAGAAGGACCGGCCAACUACGUGCCAGCCGCCGCAGUAA
Molecule: ribosomal RNA, 478 nt
Filed under: uncultured bacterium
Lineage: Bacteria
Description: partial 16S ribosomal RNA
Rfam family: Bacterial small subunit ribosomal RNA
Source: RNAcentral